UGUCCUACGGGACGCAGCAGUGAGGAAUAUUGGUCAAUGGUCGGGAGACUGAACCAGCCAAGCCGCGUGAGGGAUGAAGGUACAGAGUAUCGUAAACCUCUUUUGUCAGGGAACAAAGGCGGGGACGUGUCCCCGGAUGAGUGUACCUGAAGAAAAAGCAUCGGCUAACUCCGUGCCAGCAGCCGCGGUAAUACGGAGGAUGCGAGCGUUAUCCGGAUUUAUUGGGUUUAAAGGGUGCGUAGGCGGAAUAUCAAGUCAGCGGGAAAAAUUCGGGGCUCAAGCACGUCGUGCCGUUGAAACUGAUG
RNAcentral lists this ribosomal RNA (305 nucleotides) under uncultured bacterium. Its description in RNAcentral is "bacterial SSU rRNA". It matches the Rfam family "Bacterial small subunit ribosomal RNA", at positions 335 to 638 of the family's 1533-position model. The record is from RNAcentral.